AGCGAACGCUGGCGGCGUGCCUAACACAUGCAAGUCGAACGUGAAAGGGAGCAAUCCUGAGUAAAGUGGCGUACGGGUGAGUAACGCGUAGGUAAUCUACCCUGAAGUUUGGAAUAACCGGCCGAAAGGCUGGCUAAUACUGGAUAGAGCGACGGAAUCCGUAAUUGGGUUUUUCGGGAAAGGGAGGAAGCAAUUCCCUUCGCUUUGGGAUGAGCCUGCGUCUCAUUAGCUAGUUGGCGGGGUAAUGGCCCACCAAGGCAGUGAUGAGUAGCUGGUCUGAGAGGAUGAUCAGCCACACUGGAACUGAAACACGGUCCAGACUCCUACGGGAGGCAGCAGUGGGGAAUCUUGCGCAAUGGACGAAAGUCUGACGCAGCCACGCCGCGUGAGUGAAGAAGGCCUUUGGGUUGUAAAGCUCUGUCGCCCCGGGACGAAAAUUAUUUGGUUAAUAGCCAGUAAUCUGACGGUACCGGGAAAGGAAGCACCGGCUAACUCCGUGCCAGCA
Molecule: ribosomal RNA, 505 nt
Filed under: uncultured bacterium
Lineage: Bacteria
Description: bacterial SSU rRNA
Rfam family: Bacterial small subunit ribosomal RNA
Source: RNAcentral